RNAcentral lists this ribosomal RNA (496 nucleotides) under uncultured bacterium. Its description in RNAcentral is "partial 16S ribosomal RNA". It matches the Rfam family "Bacterial small subunit ribosomal RNA", at positions 29 to 507 of the family's 1533-position model. The record is from RNAcentral.
AUGAACGCUGGCGGCGUGCCUCAUACAUGCAAGUCGCGCGAACGGACGAGAAGCUUGCUUUUCUGAUGUUAGCGGCGGACGGGUGAGUAACACGUGGAUAACCUACCUAUAAGACUGGGAUAACUUCGGGAAACCGGAGCUAAUACCGGAUAAUAUUUUGAACCGCAUGGUUCAAAAGUGAAAGACGGUCUUGCUGUCACUUAUAGAUGGAUCCGCGCUGCAUUAGCUAGUUGGUAAGGUAACGGCUUACCAAGGCAACGAUGCAUUGCCGACCUGAGAGGGUGAUCGGCCACACUGGAACUGAGACACGGUCCAGACUCCUACGGGAGGCAGCAGUAGGGAAUCUUCCGCAAUGGGCGAAAGCCUGACGGAGCAACGCCGCGUGAGUGAUGAAGGUCUUCGGAUCGUAAAACUCUGUUAUUAGGGAAGAACAUAUGUGUAAGUAACUGUGCACAUCUUGACGGUACCUAAUCAGAAAGCCACGGCUAACUACGUG